This 485-nucleotide ribosomal RNA is filed under the name uncultured bacterium. RNAcentral describes it as "partial 16S ribosomal RNA". It matches the Rfam family "Bacterial small subunit ribosomal RNA", at positions 28 to 507 of the family's 1533-position model. The record is from RNAcentral.
GAUGAACGCUAGCGAUAGGCUUAACACAUGCAAGUCGAGGGGCAGCGAGGGUAGCAAUACCUGUCGGCGACCGGCGCACGGGUGAGUAACGCGUAUGUAACCUGCCCGCAACAGGGGGAUAACCCGGCGAAAGUCGGACUAAUACCGCAUAAAACAGGGGUCCCGCAUGGGAAUAUUUGUUAAAGAUUUAUCGGUUGCGGAUGGGCAUGCGUACCAUUAGGUAGUUGGUGAGGUAACGGCUCACCAAGCCUUCGAUGGUUAGGGGUUCUGAGAGGAAGGUCCCCCACACUGGUACUGAGACACGGACCAGACUCCUACGGGAGGCAGCAGUGAGGAAUAUUGGUCAAUGGGCGAGGGCCUGAACCAGCCAAGUCGCGUGAAGGAGGACUGCCCUAUGGGUUGUAAACUUCUUUUACAAGGGAAUAAAAUGAGAUACGUGUAUUUUAUUGCAUGUACCUUGGGAAUAAGCAUCGGCUAACUCCGUG